AACGAACGCUGGCGGCAUGCCUAACACAUGCAAGUCGAACGAGACCUUCGGGUCUAGUGGCGCACGGGUGCGUAACGCGUGGGAACCUGCCCUUAGGUUCGGAAUAACUCCCCGAAAGGGGUGCUAAUACCGGAUAAUGUCUUCGGACCAAAGAUUUAUCGCCUUUGGAUGGGCCCGCGUUGGAUUAGCUAGUUGGUAGGGUAAAAGCCUACCAAGGCGACGAUCCAUAGCUGGUCUGAGAGGAUGGUCAGCCACACUGGGACUGAGACACGGCCCAGACUCCUACGGGAGGCAGCAGAGGGGAAUAUUGGACAAUGGGCGAAAGCCUGAUCCAGCAAUGCCGCGUGAGUGAUGAAGGCCUUAGGGUUGUAAAGCUCUUUUACCCGGGAUGAUAAUGACGGUACCGGGAGAAUAAGCUCCGGCUAACUCCGUG
RNAcentral lists this ribosomal RNA (433 nucleotides) under uncultured bacterium. RNAcentral describes it as "partial 16S ribosomal RNA". It matches the Rfam family "Bacterial small subunit ribosomal RNA", at positions 29 to 507 of the family's 1533-position model. The record is from RNAcentral.